AGAGUUUGAUCCUGGCUCAGAUUGAACGCUGGCGGCAUGCUUUACACAUGCAAGUCGAACGGCAGCACGGGUGCUUGCACCUGGUGGCGAGUGGCGAACGGGUGAGUAAUGCACCGGAACGUACCCAGUAAUGGGGGAUAACACAUCGAAAGAUGUGCUAAUACCGCAUACGCCCUGAGGGGGAAAGCGGGGGAUCGUAAGACCUCGCGUUAUUGGAGCGGCCGAUGCCGGAUUAGCUAGUUGGUGAGGUAAGAGCUCACCAAGGCGACGAUCCGUAGCUGGUCUGAGAGGACGACCAGCCACACUGGGACUGAGACACGGCCCAGACUCCUACGGGAGGCAGCAGUGGGGAAUUUUGGACAAUGGGCGCAAGCCUGA
RNAcentral lists this ribosomal RNA (378 nucleotides) under uncultured bacterium. Its description in RNAcentral is "bacterial SSU rRNA". It matches the Rfam family "Bacterial small subunit ribosomal RNA", at positions 8 to 386 of the family's 1533-position model. The record is from RNAcentral.